AGCAGCCGCGGUAAUUCCAGCUCCAAUAGCGUAUAUUAAAGUUGUUGCAGUUAAAAAGCUCGUAGUUGAAUUUCGGGGUUAGUAGGUUGGUCAUGCCUCUGGUAUGUACUGGUCUCACUGAUUCCUCCUUCCUGAUGAACCUUAAUGCCAUUAAUUUGGUGUUUUGGGGAAUUUGGACUGUUACUUUGAAAAAUUGAGUGUUUAAAGCAAGCUAACGCUUGAAUACAUUAGCAUGGAAUAAUGAAAUAGGACGUUCGAUCCUAUUUUGUUGGUUUCUAGGAUUGACGUAAUGAUUAAUAGGGAUAGUUGGGGGCAUUAGUAUUCAAUUGUCAGAGGUGAAAUUCUUGGAUUUAUUGAAGACUAACUACUGCGAAAGCAUUUGCCAAGGAUGUUUUCAUUAAUCAAGAACGAAAGUUAGGGGAUCGAAGACGAUCAGAUACCGUCGUAGUC
Molecule: ribosomal RNA, 450 nt
Filed under: uncultured Glomus
Lineage: Eukaryota; Fungi; Glomeromycota; Glomeromycetes; Glomerales; Glomeraceae
Description: SSU rRNA
Rfam family: Eukaryotic small subunit ribosomal RNA
Source: RNAcentral